GUUUGAUCAUGGCUCAGAUUGAACGCUGGCGGCAGGCCUAACACAUGCAAGUCGAACGGUAACAGGAAGCAGCUUGCUGCUUCGCUGACGAGUGGCGGACGGGUGAGUAAUGUCUGGGAAGCUGCCUGAUGGAGGGGGAUAACUACUGGAAACGGUAGCUAAUACCGCAUAAUGUCGCAAGACCAAAGAGGGGGACCUUCGGGCCUCUUGCCAUCGGAUGUGCCCAGAUGGGAUUAGCUUGUUGGUGGGGUAACGGCUCACCAAGGCGACGAUCCCUAGCUGGUCUGAGAGGAUGACCAGCCACACUGGAACUGAGACACGGUCCAGACUCCUACGGGAGGCAGCAGUGGGGAAUAUUGCACAAUGGGCGCAAGCCUGAUGCAGCCAUGCCGCGUGUAUGAAGAAGGCCUUCGGGUUGUAAAGUACUUUCAGCGGGGAGGAAGGGAGUAAAGUUAAUACCUUUGCUCAUUGACGUUACCCGCAGAAGAAGCACCGGCUAACUCCGUGCCAGCAGCCGCGGUAAUACGGAGGGUGCAAGCGUUAAUCGGUAUUACUGGGCGUAAAGCGCACGCAGGCGGUUUGUUAAGUCAGAUGUGAAAUCCCCGGGCUCAACCUGGGAACUGCAUCUGAUACUGGCAAGCUUGAGUCUCGUAGAGGGGGGUAGAAUUCCAGGUGUAGCGGUGAAAUGCGUAGAGAUCUGGAGGAAUACCGGUGGCGAAGGCGGCCCCCUGGACGAAGACUGACGCUCAGGUGCGAAAGCGUGGGGAGCAAACAGGAUUAGAUACCCUGGUAGUACACGCCGUAAACGAUGUCGACUUGGAGGUUGUGCCCUUGAGGCGUGGCUUCCGGAGCUAACGCGUUAAGUCGACCGCCUGGGGAGUACGGCCGCAAGGUUAAAACUCAAAUGAAUUGACGGGGGCCCGCACAAGCGGUGGAGCAUGUGGUUUAAUUCGAUGCAACGCGAAGAACCUUACCUGGUCUUGACAUCCACGGAAGUUUUCAGAGAUGAGAAUGUGCCUUCGGGAACCGUGAGACAGGUGCUGCAUGGCUGUCGUCAGCUCGUGUUGUGAAAUGUUGGGUUAAGUCCCGCAACGAGCGCAACCCUUAUCCUUUGUUGCCAGCGGUCCGGCCGGGAACUCAAAGGAGACUGCCAGUGAUAAACUGGAGGAAGGUGGGGAUGACGUCAAGUCAUCAUGGCCCUUACGACCAGGGCUACACACGUGCUACAAUGGCGCAUACAAAGAGAAGCGACCUCGCGAGAGCAAGCGGACCUCAUAAAGUGCGUCGUAGUCCGGAUUGGAGUCUGCAACUCGACUCCAUGAAGUCGGAAUCGCUAGUAAUCGUGGAUCAGAAUGCCACGGUGAAUACGUUCCCGGGCCUUGUACACACCGCCCGUCACACCAUGGGAGUGGGUUGCAAAAGAAGUAGGUAGCUUAACCUUCGGGAGGGCGCUUGCCACUUUGUGAUUCAUGACUGGGGUGAAGUCGUAACAAGGUAACCGUAGGGGAA
RNAcentral lists this ribosomal RNA (1509 nucleotides) under metagenome. RNAcentral describes it as "bacterial SSU rRNA". It matches the Rfam family "Bacterial small subunit ribosomal RNA". The record is from RNAcentral.